RNAcentral lists this ribosomal RNA (680 nucleotides) under uncultured bacterium. RNAcentral's name for it is "bacterial SSU rRNA". It matches the Rfam family "Bacterial small subunit ribosomal RNA", at positions 9 to 687 of the family's 1533-position model. The record is from RNAcentral.
GAGUUUGAUCCUGGCUCAGAUUGAACGCUGGCGGCAGGCCUAAGACAUGCAAGUCGAGCGAGAAAGUACUUCGGUACGAGUACAGCGGCGGACGGGUGAGUAACGCGUAGGAAUCUACCUAGUAGUGGGGGACAACUCGUGGAAACGCGAGCUAAUACCGCAUACGCCCUACGGGGGAAAGCGGGGGAUCUUCGGACCUCGUGCUAUUAGAUGAGCCUGCGUAAGAUUAGCUAGUUGGUGGGGUAAAGGCCUACCAAGGCGACGAUCUUUAGCUGGUCUGAGAGGAUGAUCAGCCACACCGGGACUGAGACACGGCCCGGACUCCUACGGGAGGCAGCAGUCGGGAAUAUUGCGCAAUGGGCGAAAGCCUGACGCAGCCAUGCCGCGUGUGUGAAGAAGGCCCUAGGGUUGUAAAGCACUUUCAAUUGGGAGGAAAAGCUAAUGGUUAAUAGCCAUUAGCCCUGACGUUACCUUUAGAAGAAGCACCGGCUAACUCCGUGCCAGCAGCCGCGGUAAUACGGAGGGUGCAAGCGUUAAUCGGAAUUACUGGGCGUAAAGCGCGCGUAGGCGGCUCUUUAAGUCGGAUGUGAAAGCCCCGGGCUCAACCUGGGAACUGCAUCCGAUACUGGGGAGCUAGAGUGUAGGAGAGGGAGGUAGAAUUCCAUGUGUAGCAGUGAAAU